CGGUGAGAUAAGAGUGCACCCAGAUAGAGGAAGACAUUUAUAGAGUGCUCUUACACGGUGCAACAGCUCACAAAAAGAAGUCAUGGAUUCCCUCUGAUUGGAGGUUGUCUUUAAAAACAGUUCUGCCACAUGGAGAAAAGAGAGGAAAAAUUCCAAUAUUGACAAUGGUCUAGAAGUACCUGUGGAUUCUGGCUAAACUUCAUGAGACUGUGUACCUUUGGUGCCUACUGUGGGCUCAAGCUCAGCCACCUUCUCAGAGCCAUUCAGAAAAUGAAGAGGAAAAAUAUCUAAGGGCUCCAGUCACAGAGAAACUAAGUAUCACGCUUUUCCUUGCUUUUGUGGACUCAUGUUUGUUACAUAGAUUACAGACCUACAGAGGAACACCUUAUUCCUAGCUCUGUGCUGACCAGACCUUUUCGCAGGGUCCCUAACCCUUGCUCACAGCCUUCCCCACUCUCUAGGACCUAUAGCUGUUCUAGAACUAUAAUCCUGGCUUGAGUCUAGGUUCUUAGGUAACACCUCUGUCUUGCUUGUGAUAUAAAAUUUGCAAUAUUUUUGCUAUCCAUUCUAACACCAGGCCUGGGCAGUCCCAACCUGGCCUGUCCAGACACUGAAGAAUUCUCAGUCUUACAAUCUGUGAAAUGUUGUCAUAAAGGUGUUUGACUGGGGUGCCUGGGCGACUCAAUCUGUUGAGCAUCUAGCUCUUGAUUUCAGCUCAGGUCAUGAUCUCAGGGUCAUGAAAUCGAGCCUCACAUCGGGCUCUGCACUGAGGAUGGAGUCUGCUUGAGAUUCUCCCUCUCCUUCUGCCUCUGCCCCACCCCGUGCUUGCAGGCUCUCUCUCUCAAGAUAAAUAAAAUCUUAAAAAAAAAAAAAAAAAAGAUGUUUGAUUGGUACCAAGAAUUUUGUAGUUCCUUAAAUAGUGCUCUAUAUUAUAUAGGUCUUCAGAACUGUAUGCAAAAGAAAUCACAGUGUUCUGCUGUAUUAAAAAAAAAGUGUGCCCCUUCAUCGGACACCUGAUUAUUUGGUCACUCCAAAGGACAUCUUCCCGGUUGACCUACACCACUACAUCUACUUACCAUACGUAGGAGAAGCACUUUGAAAAAGAACUAGCUGUCUUCUCAGAGCUAGCCUUUCAAAUCUGUGAAGUGACGCUGCAUGCCAUCUCUUGAUCUCUCCUGUGUGACUAGACGGGCACCAAAUAAGCAUAGCUCCAUGGGACGCAGUGCUUGAUAUUUUAUUGCUUUGGGUGUUCUCCCCUGUAUCCCUGUUAUACCUGGAAAAGAGAAACACAAGCCUCCGUGCCAGUGUGGAAAUCUGCAAUCACCCAUUUAGCUUCUCUUCCCUGGGAGUGUUUGUUGCACUUAUAUAAAGUUUUGUUUGGGCCAGGAUGUUUCUGCCACAGGACGAGAAACAGUGCAACGUUUGUAUGAAAUGAGCGUAAUACAGGAAACAAAUAAAAUGUCUGAUAGCCGAUUUGACAUAUGUCUGACA
Mustela lutreola (European mink) is the source of this 1491-nucleotide long non-coding RNA. RefSeq lists it as uncharacterized. The transcript has 3 exons. Lineage: Eukaryota; Metazoa; Chordata; Mammalia; Carnivora; Mustelidae. The record is from RefSeq and is a predicted model, not a curated record.